Molecule: long non-coding RNA, 550 nt
Organism: Canis lupus familiaris (dog)
Lineage: Eukaryota; Metazoa; Chordata; Mammalia; Carnivora; Canidae
Exons: 3
Source: RefSeq, a predicted model, not a curated record
CGUUCCUUUGGGUAAAACAGAACACUAGGCUUAAGUCAUGUUACCAUAUACCUCAAUAUAUUCUAUACUCAGACUAUGUGUAUAAAUACAUAUGUACGUGCACAUAUGUGCUCACAUGUAUAAAGAGACAGUCAUCAUUAUGGAAAUGGUACGCAACAGCCAAACACACGACUGGCAGAUUCUGUCUCAGUUGUAGCUACACGACUCACAGAUGCUGGAGUGCUGGAGACGGUGCAGGGAUGAUUGGGAAAUGGGACUAAAGAGAAGAGUGCAACAAUGCCUUUCUUUGUCCCAGAGAUAAAAGAGCUGAAUGAACAGAACAGAGCAAAAUGAAGACUUUUAGACACACAAGACCUGAAAGAGCACCACCGACAACCUGUUCUAUAAUAGAUGCCAAAGAAAUUUCUUCAAGAAGAAAAAACAGGAUACCAGACAGGAAUCUGGGCCUACACAAAAAGGGAUGAGGAGCACCAGAAAUGGUAAAAAUUUGGGUAAAUAGAACAUAUUUUUACCUUAUUUUAUUUACUUUUUAUUUAAAGAUUUAUUUAUU